Molecule: transfer RNA, 71 nt
Filed under: Mesorhizobium sp.
Lineage: Bacteria; Pseudomonadati; Pseudomonadota; Alphaproteobacteria; Hyphomicrobiales; Phyllobacteriaceae
Description: tRNA-Arg
Rfam family: tRNA
About the family: Transfer RNA (tRNA) molecules are approximately 80 nucleotides in length. Their secondary structure includes four short double-helical elements and three loops (D, anti-codon, and T loops).
Source: RNAcentral
GCUUCGGUCAGAAUAUAUCCGCUGCCCUCCGAAGGCAGAGGUCACAGGUUCGAAUCCUGUCGGGUGCGCCA